This 301-nucleotide ribosomal RNA is filed under the name uncultured bacterium. Its description in RNAcentral is "partial 16S ribosomal RNA". It matches the Rfam family "Bacterial small subunit ribosomal RNA", at positions 509 to 807 of the family's 1533-position model. The record is from RNAcentral.
CAGCAGCCACGGUAAUGCGAAGGGUGCAAGCGUUAAUCGGAAUUACUGGGCGUAAAGCGUGCGUAGGCGGUGAGUUAAGUCUGCUGUGAAAUCCCCGGGCUCAACCUGGGAAUGGCAGUGGAUACUGGCUCGCUAGAGUGUGUCAGAGGAUGGUGGAAUUCCCGGUGUAGCGGUGAAAUGCGUAGAGAUCGGGAGGAACAUCAGUGGCGAAGGCGGCCAUCUGGGACAACACUGACGCUGAGGCACGAAAGCGUGGGGAGCAAACAGGAUUAGAUACCCGCGUAGUCCCUGUCUCUUAUAC